CUUAACGUAUAGGCCGCCGAAAAUACUGGACAGCUAGGGAGUGGGAGAGGUACACGGUACUCAAUAGGAAGGGGUAAAAUCCUUUGAUCUAUUGAUGACCACCUGUGGCGAAGGCGGUGUACCAGAACACGUUCGACGGUGAGGGAUGAAAGCUGGGGGAGCAAACCGGAUUAGAUACCCGGGUAGUCCCAGCUGUAAACGAUGCAGACUCGGUGAUGCAUUGGCUUGUGGCCAAUGCAGUGCCGCAGGGAAGCCGUUAAGUCUGCCGCCUGGGAAGUACGUACGCAAGUAUGAAACUUAAAGGAAUUGGCGGGGGAGCACCACAAGGGGUGAAGCCUGCGGUUCAAUUGGAGUCAACGCCAGAAACCUUACCCGGGGCGACAGCAGAAUGAAGGUCAAGCUGAAGACUUUACCAGACAAGCUGAGAGGUGGUGCAUGGCCGUCGCCAGCUCGUGCCGUGAGAUGUCCUGUUAAGUCAGGUAACGAGCGAGACCCCUGCGUCUAGUUGCUACCAUUACUCUCUGGAGUAGUGGAGCGAAUUAGACGGACCGCCACAGUUAAUGUGGAGGAAGGAAGGGGCCACGGCAGGUCAGUAUGCCCCGAAACCCUGGGGCCACACGCGGGCUGCAAUGGUAUUGACAAUGUGUUCCGAAUCUGAAAGGAG
Molecule: ribosomal RNA, 664 nt
Filed under: uncultured Candidatus Cenarchaeales thaumarchaeote
Lineage: Archaea; Thermoproteati; Nitrososphaerota; Candidatus Cenarchaeales
Description: bacterial SSU rRNA
Rfam family: Archaeal small subunit ribosomal RNA
Source: RNAcentral